CACGUGUGAGGCACUGGGUUCAAUCCUCAGCACCACAUAAAAAUAAAUAAAGGUAUUAUCUUUAUCUACAACUAAAAAAAUUUUUAAAAAAAGAAACAGCUAUGCAUAUAGAUUCAACAGUAAGUGGGCUGGUCAUGAGGGCUGUGCUGUGUAGUCUCUGGUCUCCAGACUGAGUCUCCAUGCUGUGCUGCUCUGGAUCCAAGAGCUGAUUCUGUGCAUUGCCUCCCAGGCUCCCUUAUCUAGAGGGCUCUUGGGUUUGAUUGGCUGGAACCCCAGCUGGAGGGUGAGAGCUAGGCAGGUUCCCACUUGUCAGUGAAUCCACUUCUCCACGGAAGACCACGGCCCCAGCCACCAGCUACAUUCUAGAAACACACAUAGCUUUGCCCCUGUGGGUCUCAGGUGGGCUCUUGUCUGAUUUCCUUAACCCUGACAACACCUUGGCCAAUCUUCCCUCUGCAGAGCCCUCCUUAGUUGCCCCUUCUAUUGAGUCACCCAUUUCCUGCUGGGCCCCCCACUGAAAUGCAUUUUGCAGUGCUGUGACUCUUGGGAAUCUAAGGACAUUGGCAUUGGCAUUUUGAUUGAUGUGACUAUGCUUUAACAGCACUAACUCCGUGUGGAGCUUUUCCUGGUAACACAAGCUGAGGCUGAGCUCAGGGGCUGACUGAUAGCCACCUUGAGGGCCACAUGCCAGGAUGCAAGUAAGAUAGCUGCUGCCUGGGACUUUUCCCUCCAAGGUCGACAUGUGGAAGCUGAGAUAAUGUACCUUCUGGGACUAUGAAUACCAGUGCCUUCCGACUGCCAUUUGAGACCUAUGUCAGUGUGACUCCACCCAUUGAGAGUAUUCACUCUGAAAUGGCAUUGGCCCCCAGGGGCUCUGCCUGGGUGCACAGUCCUUUGCUUCACUGCUGAUGACUUUAUGGCCUUCAGACCUGUUGGAGUGACACCUUGGAGAGAUUGGUCUUCUGGACCAUUUAGACAAAAUUUUUUCCCCCGUAGACACAGGUGUUUUGUUCAUUAUCAACAUUGUUCACUUGAUUGAUUUUCUUUUACUUAUUUUUUGUCUAUAUUUUCAUUUAUCUCCUUUGUUUGCUUUUGCUCAUUCUGCUUUUGCAUACAUUGCCAUCAACUGAUUGAUUCAGGAACUAUGUUUUGCUUGGCAUGUCAUUUGAUGGGAGAAUACAGAGCCUGCCCCUCUUGCAGGAAUUAUAACCCUUGAGGUUAAAAUUGUAGACAGGUGUCUAGGACCUGGUCCGCCUUUGUCAUUCUAGGGGGACAGCCCCUGACUGCUACAAGCCCUUCUGAGAUUGGUGAUCUCACUCUGGUGAAAUCAAUGGGACUCCAAGGAUGACUCUCCCCAGUUCUAUCAAGAAAAUAAGUCAGAGUUCUGCCAGAAUGUACACACCAUGAAAAGUCACAUCAGCUACCAAAUGGGACACAAAUAUCAAAAUGGUGGCCCAAGGGAUGUAGGGUGGAGAUGGGAGAAGUAAAGAAAGGAUAUGGCAGAGGAUCAGGGAGAUGGCAGAGAGUUGCCUUAAUGGGGGCUCUGAUGGGUCAAAGGGCAGGGGUCAUGAACUGGGUAGGAGGAGACGAACCUGCAAGCUGGAGGCUGAGGGGGUGACAUACCUGAAUUGGUGAACUCUUGGCAGGUCAGACAGCACCUGAGGCCACUUAGGGCUUUUAAAUGUCCCCAGGAAAGCUAACAAUGGAUAGGGGACUGUGCCUGGGAAAGUCAAAGAGGCAAGACAUGUGGAGGACUUACCAGUUGAACUGAGAAGAAGAUCAUACAUUUCCAAACUUAAAC
RNAcentral lists this long non-coding RNA (1801 nucleotides) under Marmota monax (woodchuck). The record is from RNAcentral. Lineage: Eukaryota; Metazoa; Chordata; Mammalia; Rodentia; Sciuridae.